Molecule: small nucleolar RNA, 121 nt
Filed under: Mus musculus (house mouse)
Lineage: Eukaryota; Metazoa; Chordata; Mammalia; Rodentia; Muridae
Description: predicted gene, 24176 (ENSMUSG00000089553.3)
Rfam family: Small nucleolar RNA SNORA17
About the family: snoRNA ACA 17 belongs to the H/ACA family of snoRNAs and is predicted to guide pseudouridylation of the 28S rRNA at positions U4659 and U4598.
Source: Rfam by way of RNAcentral
CCUGCCCCUAGAGGCAUUGCAGAUGUGGCUGCUGUGCCAUAUGUGGCUGAGAGAAGAGAGACUAUGUCUAUACUCAGUGUUCUGGCCUAACGAGCAUCUAAAUGAUUAGUACCCUAACUUU